GUGAAUUAAACAUGCUUGGUGUCUUCGCUUCGGCAAGGCCCUUGCUUAAAUCACAUCCUAACACCUGUGAACUGUAAGACAUAUGAUGAGGUCUUUGGCCAAGUCAUCGUCUGCCCAUUUUUAACAAACAAUUAAUGUAACAAACGUAGUCUUAUUAUAACCUAAUA
Molecule: unclassified non-coding RNA, 167 nt
Filed under: soil metagenome
Description: partial internal transcribed spacer 1
Source: RNAcentral